AAUGGGAUAGCUGGGUCAAAUGGUGGUUCCAUUUCCAGUUUUCCAAGGAAUCUCCAUACUGCUUUUCAUAUUGGCUGCACCAAUCUGCAGCCCCACCAGCAAU
RNAcentral lists this microRNA precursor (103 nucleotides) under Marmota monax (woodchuck). Lineage: Eukaryota; Metazoa; Chordata; Mammalia; Rodentia; Sciuridae. The record is from RNAcentral.